CCUACGGGAGGCAGCAGUGAGGAAUAUUGGUCAAUGGGCGCGAGCCUGAACCAGCCAAGUAGCGUGAAGGAUGACUGCCCUACGGGUUGUAAAUUUCUUUUAUAAAGGAAUAAAGUGAGGCACGUGUGCCUUUUUGUCUGUACUUUAUGAAUAAGGAUCGGCUAACUCCGUGCCAGCAGCCGCGGUAAUACGGAGGAUCCGAGCGUUAUACGGAUUUAUUGGGUGUAAAGGGAGCGUAGAUGGGUUGUUAAGUCAGUUGUGAAAGUUUGCGGCUCAACCGUAAAAUUGCAAUUGAUACUGGCAGUCUUGAGUACAGUUGAGGUAGGCGGAAUUCGUGGUGUAGCGGUGAAAUGCUUAGAUAUCACGAAGAACUCCGAUUGCGAAGGCAGCUUACUAAACUGCCACUGACAUUGAUGCUCGAAAGUGUGGGUAUCAAACAGGAUUAGAUACCCGAGUAGUC
Molecule: ribosomal RNA, 460 nt
Filed under: uncultured bacterium
Lineage: Bacteria
Description: partial 16S ribosomal RNA
Rfam family: Bacterial small subunit ribosomal RNA
Source: RNAcentral